UCUCUGGCAGUCCAGUGGUUAGGACUCUGCACUUCCAAUGCAAGGGGUUCGGGUUAGAUCCCUGCUUGGGGAA
This 73-nucleotide transfer RNA is filed under the name Ovis aries (sheep). It matches the Rfam family "tRNA". Rfam says of the family: Transfer RNA (tRNA) molecules are approximately 80 nucleotides in length. Their secondary structure includes four short double-helical elements and three loops (D, anti-codon, and T loops). The record is from Rfam by way of RNAcentral. Lineage: Eukaryota; Metazoa; Chordata; Mammalia; Artiodactyla; Bovidae.